UGACCGGACCGGACAGCGGCGGGCAGCAGCCGAAAGGCUCUGUCUGAGGAAAGUCCGAGCUUCACAGGGCAAGGGUAGCUGCUAACGGCAGCCGGAGGCGACUCCAGGGAAAGUGCAACAGAGAGAUACCGCCGGGCAGGACCUUCUGAUCCCGCCCCGGCAAGGGUGGAAAGGCGAGGCAAGAGCUCACCAGCGCCCGGGAGACCGGGCGGCUAUGCAAACCCUACCCGAAGCAACACCGCACAGGGACAUAACGGCGGCCCGCCGGUCCCGACCAGGUGGCUGGAGCCCGGUGGCGACACCGGGCCAAGAUAGAUCGUUGUCCACGACAGAACUCGGCUUACAGGUCCGGUCAGGAA
Molecule: RNase P RNA, 359 nt
Filed under: Angelakisella sp.
Lineage: Bacteria; Bacillati; Bacillota; Clostridia; Eubacteriales; Oscillospiraceae
Description: RNase P RNA component class A
Rfam family: Bacterial RNase P class A
About the family: Ribonuclease P (RNase P) is a ubiquitous endoribonuclease, found in archaea, bacteria and eukarya as well as chloroplasts and mitochondria. Its best characterised activity is the generation of mature 5'-ends of tRNAs by cleaving the 5'-leader elements of precursor-tRNAs. Cellular RNase Ps are ribonucleoproteins.
Source: RNAcentral